Molecule: ribosomal RNA, 484 nt
Filed under: uncultured bacterium
Lineage: Bacteria
Description: partial 16S ribosomal RNA
Rfam family: Bacterial small subunit ribosomal RNA
Source: RNAcentral
AUUGAACGCUGGCGGCAGGCCUAACACAUGCAAGUCGAGCAGAUGAAGGGAGCUUGCUCCUGGAUUCAGCGGCGGACGGGUGAGUAAUGCCUAGGAAUCUGCCUGGUAGUGGGGGAUAACGUCUGGAAACGGGCGCUAAUACCGCAUACGUCCUGAGGGAGAAAGUGGGGGAUCUUCGGACCUCACGCUAUCAGAUGAGCCUAGGUCGGAUUAGCUAGUUGGUGGGGUAAAGGCCUACCAAGGCGACGAUCCGUAACUGGUCUGAGAGGAUGAUCAGUCACACUGGAACUGAGACACGGUCCAGACUCCUACGGGAGGCAGCAGUGGGGAAUAUUGGACAAUGGGCGAAAGCCUGAUCCAGCCAUGCCGCGUGUGUGAAGAAGGUCUUCGGAUUGUAAAGCACUUUAAGUUGGGAGGAAGGGCAGUAAGUUAAUACCUUGCUGUUUUGACGUUACCAACAGAAUAAGCACCGGCUAACUUCGUG